RNAcentral lists this ribosomal RNA (350 nucleotides) under uncultured bacterium. RNAcentral describes it as "bacterial SSU rRNA". It matches the Rfam family "Bacterial small subunit ribosomal RNA", at positions 918 to 1269 of the family's 1533-position model. The record is from RNAcentral.
GGCCCGCACAAGCGGUGGAGUAUGUGGUUUAAUCCGACGCAACGCGCAGAACCUUACCCAGUCUUGACAUCCCUGGACCACUAUGGAGACAUAGCUUUUCAACCUAACGGAAGAAUCAGGUGACAGGUGCUGCAUGGCUGUCGUCAGCUCGUGUCGUGAGAUGUUCGUUAAGUCCGGUAACGAGCGCAACCCCUAUCCUUAGUUGCCAAUUAUGGAACUCUAAGGAGACUCCCGGUGUUAAACCGGCGGAAGAUGGGGAUGACGUCAAGUCCUCAUGGCCCUUAUCGGCUGGGGCUACACACGUACUACAAUGGCAACUACAAAGAGCCGCAAGACCGCGAGGUGGAGCU